GACGAACGCUGGCGGCGUGCUUAACACAUGCGAGUCGAACGGAAAGGCCCUGCUUUUGUGGGGUGCUCGAGUGGCGAACGGGGGAGUAACACGUGAGUAACCUGCCCUUGACUUUGGGAUAACUUCAGGAAACUGGGGCUAAUACAGGAUAGGAGCUCCUGCUGCAGGGUGGGGGGGGGAAAGUUUCGGCGGGUGGGGAUGGACUGGCGGGUGAUGGGCUUGUUGGUGGGGUAGUGGCUGACCAAGGCAUUGACGGGUAGCCCGCCGGGGAGGGUGAACGGGCACCUUGGGCCUGAGGGAGGGCGCAGCCUGGAACGGGAGGCAACGGUGGGGAAUAUUGCACAGUGGGCCGGCGUGUGAUGAGACGACCCCGCGUGCGGGAUGACCGCCUGCGGGUUGUGAACCGCUUCCGCCUGUGACGAAGCGUGAGUGACGGUACUGGGUAAAGAAGCACCGGCUAACUACGUG
This 468-nucleotide ribosomal RNA is filed under the name uncultured bacterium. RNAcentral describes it as "partial 16S ribosomal RNA". It matches the Rfam family "Bacterial small subunit ribosomal RNA", at positions 28 to 507 of the family's 1533-position model. The record is from RNAcentral.